Long non-coding RNA from Formica exsecta, 567 nucleotides. RefSeq lists it as uncharacterized. The transcript has 3 exons. Lineage: Eukaryota; Metazoa; Arthropoda; Insecta; Hymenoptera; Formicidae. The record is from RefSeq and is a predicted model, not a curated record.
GUCCAUAUGAUGGUUGGUUCUCAGGAUUUUUCCUAAUCCAUUCCUGUUAUAACCUCAAAAAUAAACACGAGAUUUUCAAUAUAAUAUGCAAUAGUUUUUGCACAAAUAAAACUGAAUUAUUUAAUGAUUGGAGAUAUAAUCAAAUGGAAACAAAUGGAAUAUGUGUGAUUUUCCAUGAUAGAAACUUUUCUAUUCAUGUUUAAAAUUAAUUGAUAUUUAAAGCUCACGUACACGUUUCUUUGCGUAUACAUAAAUUGGAAGCUAUGCGAUUGAGAGGGUGGAGAUAUGGUGUAUUUGUCGGAGGUUUUGUUGGACUUAUAGGUGUAUUCUGUUAUGCUUCCAUGAUUCGACCUAUGCUAAAUCCUGAGCCAUAUAAGAGAUAUAGAGAACGAGCCUUCUCUUCGGACAAAUGAACAUAAGUUAUUCUAUAAAAUUUACUUGAAUGUUCCUGUAGAAUCAGUGUUUCGUAUAUGUUAUGUAAAGUUUUUUCAUAUAAAAGCUAGGUGAUAAGUAAAAAAUAAUUACAUGGCCUGUUUGUUGUAGAAAAUAUAUGUCUAUCAAUAUUUA